CCUCUCCUCCCUCCCUGUUUUCCCCCCUCUCUUUUUCUUUCUUCCCUCUCUCCCUCUCUAUCUUUCUCUCCCUAUCUCUUCCUCUCUCCUCUCUUUCUCUGUCUCUCUGUCUCUCUCUCUCUCCUACACACACAUUCAUACACAAUUAUAAUACAUCUGCGAAUAAACCUUAAAACUGAACUUUUAAACACUUUAAAAAUUACUUUGAGCUCCAAAUUUUCUUCCCUCUUGCCACUUCCCCCACUCGUGGAGAAGGCAAGCAAUAUGACACCCAUGUGAAUGCGCUAAAACGCUGAGACACCCAGUAAUUGUGGGGGGGGAAGAGGAUACAGUCUAUAUUUAGAGAAAUGAGGUAAUUUCGGACACAAAAGGCCCAGGUACACUGCAGUAGCAUUGGAAUGGGCGUAUUUCUCACUAUUUUGGUUUAUCAUCCAUCCCCUAGAAAAUCUGAGCAAAUUGUUUACAGAGUGCCCCCGAGCUGGAGAUCAAGGGUACUAAUCACUCUCCCACUCACCAGGGUUUUUUUGAGGUCUAUAAAUUAUCUCUGGGCAAGUUGCCAUUUACCUUUACUCUUUGGGGUAGAAGAAGCUUUUUUUACUUCAGUAUCCUCCUUUGAAGAUAAACACUGGUCUUUCCUAUUCCCAUGUUUAAAUCCCACCUCUACCGGG
This 668-nucleotide long non-coding RNA is filed under the name Sarcophilus harrisii (Tasmanian devil). RNAcentral's name for it is "lncRNA (ENSSHAG00000024890.1)". Lineage: Eukaryota; Metazoa; Chordata; Mammalia; Dasyuromorphia; Dasyuridae. The record is from RNAcentral.